CUAAAGGCAAUGCCUUCAUCUUGGUAGAGUUUUGUCCGAUACAUACUGGACAUAUAAAAGCAUUUGACACAUAAGGUGCAUCACCUUGAUACUGGCGCGGCUGUGGUAACAAUAGCGCAUUUCCUGACGAAAAUAGGAGAUACCAUAAAUCACUAUCUAAUCUUGAACGCGCUUCACACGGUAUCCACAAGCCAGCUCUGGAGGAGCAUGAACUUGAUUGUAGUGUAGCUAAUGCACAACCCCUGAACAUUCCUUUUUCAACUAUUGUCGUGCCCACGGACAUGCCCACCUGCACCCUGUAAUUCAAUCAACUGAUCAGAGGUUAUAAUGUAAAAACAAAUUAAGGUCACAUUUAUAUUCAAAUACGUCAUCUUCUUUAGCAUACUAUACUUUCCUUUAUCUAAGAAAACCAUGUGAUACUACACAAUCUGUAGAGAAAAGGAACACCAACAAAUUCCAGUUCAUGACAAGUAGAUAGUUUGGUAGACAGAAAGACUCAUCCGACACGGAUCAUAAUAUAAUUUGCAGAAACAUAUGUAGAUUCAACGUCCUAUAUCGGAAUAAAUAAUAAGUAUAGAAGAAAUUGUUAAGGUUUCUACAUGCAGCAUGGAUGCAAAGAGUUCGCUGUUAGUUACAUACAUGUCAAAGGUUUCUUCCCUAUUUAAAACAUGCCCAUAAAUGCAAGCCAAUCCAAAGUCCAAGCAGUGCCUUGCAUGCAUAUACCGCAAUAGAGCAUUAACCAUGUGCUUCCAUAUAAUCAGGCUUGCCUGACAAAAGUAAAAAACAUUCAGAGGAAAAUCAAAUCACCAUUCGAAAUUAUUAAAGACACUUUCUCAUCAUUCAAAUGCUUGAUUUGCCCUAUCCAGGAGCAGCAAUACAUAAACUGAGCCCUUGCAAGCUAAGAACUUAAUCCUCCUCACAAGAAUAUCAGUUCUUCACAGCAAGAAAUUAACCCCACAAAUUACAAUCAAAAACUGAAUACUUGCAAAUAAAAAUCAAAACUGAAUGCCCUGCAGAACAUGUUACAUAUGCUCAAAACAGAUAACCAAAUCGACAAGAUAGUAGGUUAAUCUAUCAGGGGGAAGAAGUGGGUGGAUCAACUUAUGGGGAUUGAGAUACCAGUGUCUUGGGGUCUCGAUUGCAGGGAGUCAAAGGCAAGUGAGGUGGCUGACUGGAGAACAUUUGUGAUAUUUGUUAGACCAAAAAAAAAGUUUCAGAUCAGUCAAGUCAUUCCCAAUGAAGAUGAGUCAAACCAAACGAAUCAACGCCUCCAUUUUGCAAUCUCAAUCUGGUCGAAUAGUAUACUGCAAUAUAUAGUGAACAAACUAACUAACUUGAGAUUCAUGGGAAUUUCAGAUAGAAGUGUAUGAAUACGGAAGUAGGAUCCAGUGAUGAAUUUGUACCUUUGAGGCUACCUCCUCAACCAUAUGUUGUUGAUUUGACAUCUUUUGGUAUACUCAGAAAUCUUCAACUCUAGUUCUUCUAAGACCUACAAAAUGAUAAUUUGACUCAGUGAAAUAGUGGUGGUUCUUGACAUUGCUUAUCAACUGGGGGUCACAAGACGGCAAGAUAGAUCACCAUUUAAGGAACUAUAUUGGUGCUAGAAGCCCGCACCCACUAAAUAAUACAACUGACAAGAACAUCAAAUUGGAUGCACUUACAGGGGGUAAAUUGAUUGUAUUUAGGCAUCUGCAGGAUAAAGCUUGCACUCUGAAAAAAAAUUAUGCCUGUUUCUCUGAAAUGGAAUCUGAAAGUUGUACGUCCUUUGCUAACUGUUCUUGAACACUGCCAGGUAGCACUUUUCAGAUAAUUUAUGUUUCAUAUGCCCCAAUAGUAAGGUUAAAACAUCAUCUGCUACUUUCUGUAUAAUGAACAUUUUCUAUCAAAUAAUUAUUUCUGCUUACAGUGCUUGACAAUGUUUAACCGAAAAUGCAAGGAGGAACAUAUCGAUCAGGUUGAUGGCUGUAUACUUAAAACACAGUCUCCUACUUCCUCUGAAGUUUUGCUAAUUCCCUCACCAGAUUCAGAAAUCACAACCCACCUCAGUUUUCUAUUUAUAAACAACCGGUGGAACUGCACGUACAUGGCCAAAACCAAGAUUUCAAGUAAUCUAAUUCAACAUGGUUCUCAUUGAGAAAAAUAACGUACACGCGAGCUCCAGAUUCUGGGUCCCCAGCAAAAAAAAAGAUUGCAUGUCGAUGAGCGCCUGCGGUGCACGAGGAAACAACGGUGGUGAUGCUUCAGUCUUUAGCACACCUCCAGAUACGCUCAGAUCAAACCUGAAAAUGCUAAAUUGAGAACAUAAAACUGAGCACACCUCCAGAUCACAUCGAGUCAAUCAAAUAAAUAUACUACCCAAAUAAAGCUUGUAUUGUAGUCAUACAUAAAGCAAAACUAUUUGGAGUUGCGUCUUCUAUGAACUUCAUUAGACUAAACGGGAAAACAACAACUCCCUGUUUCAAUGAGUACCUAAUAAAAUAAAAUAGCCUACCUUGAUGAACAUAAUAACCUGAGGUGGUGUGACAUCCAGAUCGUGGUGGGCGCCCAUGCGAUGAGUACGUCGUCAAGUGGAUGGAGAUGGUGUUAAGGUUGGCGCGUCCGCGCAUGGAGUGGAUCGGCGGUGGUCGCAUCUAGGCAGUGAACGCCAUGUGAGGAGUGGGGCGUGGCAGAGGAGGAUUACACGCAGUCCAGUUCCCUUGAGCAAGAUGUGGUAGCGGCUUGUCUAGAUCGAGUGGAUCUGGCGGGUGAGGUAGCUCGCGGCGACGGAGUGAGGGAGGCGGAGGACGUGAUGAAGGGCGGCGGCGGCGGCUCCUGCUCCCUCGGCGACGCGGCGCGCAGCAUGGCAGGCAGGAUUCCGAGGUCACGGGGCCUCCUGCUCCCUCGUGGCACGGCGGCGCGGCAUGCUGCGGGCGGCACAAGGCCGGGGGCGCGGCGGCUCCUGCCUGAACCCUGGGUGGCACGGCGGCGGCUGGGAGGGACUGCGGGGAUGAGUGAUUUUCCUUUUGAAGUGUAACUGGGGUGCGUGAUUACAGGAGAUGGUUGCGUGAUUAUCCGAGGGUGUGUGAUUUCUUUUUUGCGUGCCUCCCAUCAUGAUUAUGGGGAUUUGUUUG
This 3110-nucleotide long non-coding RNA is filed under the name Triticum aestivum (bread wheat). RNAcentral's name for it is "long non-coding RNA (TAES_LNC003524)". The record is from RNAcentral. Lineage: Eukaryota; Viridiplantae; Streptophyta; Magnoliopsida; Poales; Poaceae.